GUGUUAAAGAAGUUUUAAUAAUUGUCUUCUCAUCAGAUAUUAGAAAUACAACUUACAUGUAAGUUAAUAAUUCUUGACCGUGAUCCAAUCAAAAUAUUAAAUUCUUCUUUAAUCUUUACAAUUUCAUAAGAAAAUAUAUAUAAAAAAAUAAAAACAAAUACAAACACACACGUUCACUCUUACUAUAUUUGUUCUUUUCUUUUCUUUUCUUCUUUUUUACAUACACAGUACAAAUUGUAAAAAUUCAACAACUAAACAAACAUUACAUCAAACACUUUAAAAAUUACAAAACAGACCCCCACAAAUCCUUUACAGUGCAGGGAAACCUUUUGGACCCGUAUGAACAGUGGUGGCGCGUCUUCCCACGCGCCACCGUCACUGGUGGCGCGUGGGUUCACGCGCCGCCGCACAAAACUUGGAAGCCGGGUGGAUCUGGUUCAGUUUCAUCUCCUCUUCCCUUCUCUGCUGGUGGUGACAACGCCGUUACCUGCAAAACAACCAAAACGCAACACAGGCAGUUGAUUUUAGUUUUCAUUUCCUUUGUUUUUCAAAUCUUCUUCGGUUUCUUCCUUUUUUAAAAAUAUGUCCCGUUUCUCUGCCUCCUCUGCAGAUCGGUCAUCUUCUUCUUCUUUCGGUGGCAGAUCCGCCGUGGAGGACCCAGCGUCGUGGGUGAGGAGGCGGCGUCGCUGUUAUGGGAAAGAGACGUCGCUGCAAGGCUGGCGGAGUUUGCUGCUGGAGACCGGUCUGCGGGUUAGGAGAUCGCCUUCUUCUCCUCUGUUUCGGGUGGCAGAUCAGGUCUGUGAGAGAGGAGCUGCUGCUGGGUCGUUGAUGACGGGUGGAAGAGAUGACUGGUCUUGGCUGGUCUGCGGCCGUUGCUGUUGAAGGAAACGAAGGUGAAGAAGAUGCUGCUACUGCUGGGGGAGGAACUGAGGAAAGGGGAAGAUCUGUGUGCAGAGGGGGCCGGUCUGUUUGGCUGAGAGCGACCAAUGGGAAGAUGACCGGAGCCAAAAUGGGGGUCGGUUCUUCUUUGAGAAGAUGAAAGGUUGGCUUUUCUCUUUGGCCGAGGGGUAGUGUCCCUUUGCUGGUGAGAGGGGAGGUUUCUGGAGAUGGUUUUUUUGGGUCAAAAGGAAAAGGAAAUCAGGGGCUCCCCAGCUGAAGGUUGUAGAUGAGAAUGAAAUGGGGUAACAGUCAUGGCUGAGAAGGGAUCGGUUUCGGCUGCGGUUUUGGAAGGAAAAUGGAGUGGGAGCAGAAUGGCUGCUCUGGUUUGGUUUCAAAGAGAGGGGGAGCAGCGGAGAGGGCAAGGAGAUGGUGUCGGUUUGAGAAAAGAAGAUGAUGGUGGAACCGGCUGCGAAAUUGGAGGCUUGUGCAGGCGGCUGAAGAGGAAAAAUCUGCAAAACCAAAGGAGAGAGGGGGGCGGCGGCUCUCCUUGAAAAAAAAUGGGUUUAGGUUUAGGUUUUUUUUGUAUUUUUUCUGAUGUUGUCAAAAUUGCCCCCCCUCCUUUUGUUUGAGUAUUGGACCAGUAUUUAUAGGUAAAAUGUUGCAUGGAUCUCAAAAUUGGUCCCUCAACUUUUUUUUUUUUUUUUGUAAAUUUGAUUUUUCUUAAUUUUUGUAUUUUUUGAAAACGAGCAAUAUCAACGUUGACUCAAUGAAGAAAAUCAAUGAUUUUAAAAAUAACACGUUAAAAGUUGAACGCGUUCCAAAUGUCUUUGAAAAUUUAAAUUCUUUUAAGACGAUGCUAAAAACGAUGCAAAUGUAUUAAAAAAUGUAUUUUUUGGAUUUUCAAUGUUUUUCGCUAUUUUUGGAUUUUUCUAAAAAUUUAUCAAAACAUGGGUCAAAAAUUGGGUAGCAACAGAUGCCCCCUCUUUACAAUGCUUACGAAGCAAAACUCCUCAAUGUUUCGCAUAGUAAGCUUUGUAAAGAAAAACUCUAAAUGUUUCUUUCUUUUUUUUUCGUUAACUUGAGAUCCCAUCUGGCGAUCUCCUUUUUCAAAACCAAAGAAUGUGUGUAGCUCGGUCAACCUGAAAUCCCAUCUGGCGAUUCCCUUUAACCAAAGCUACAUGAGAUCCCAUCUGGCGACCUCAUUCAACUUGAACUUAAAAAAAUGUGUGGUAGCUCGGUCAACCUGAAAUCCCAUCUGGCGAUUCCCUUUAACCAAAGCUACAUGAGAUCCCAUCUGGCGACCUCAUUCAAUUGGAACUAAAAAAUGUGUGGUAGCUCGGUCAACCUGAAAUCCCAUCUGGCGAUUCCCUUUAACCAAAGCUACAUGAGAUCCCAUCUGGCGACCUCAUUAAACCAAAACUAAAAGAUGUUACGUAACUCGGUUAACCUGAAAUCCCAUCUGGCGAUUCCCUUUAACCAAAGCUACAUGAGAUCCCAUCUGGCGACCUCAUUAAACCAAAACAAAGAAUGUGGAACAAAUGGUCUCAUUGUAUGGGUGACGAACCCCAGAAAAAUGGUGGUCUCAUUGUAUGGGUGACGAACCCCAGAAAAAUGGUGGUCUCAUUGUAUGGGUGACGAACCCCAGAAAAAUGGUGGUCUCAUUGUAUGGGUGACGAACCCCAGAAAAAUGAUGGUCUCAUUGUAUGGGUGACGAACCCCAGAAAAAUGGUGGUCUCAUUGUAUGGGUGACGAACCCAAGAAAAAAAUGAUGGUCUCAUUGUAUGGGUGACGAACCCAAGAAAAAAUGAUGGAAAACGGUCUCAUUAUGAUGGGUGACCUACCCAAACGGAAAGAAUGUGAAGUGCGGUCUCAUUAUAAUGGGUGACCUACCCAGGUGGAAGAUAGAAAAAAUGUGAAGUGGUCGCGUUAUAAUGGGUGACCUACCCAGGUGGAGGAUAGAAAAAAUGUGAAGUGGUCGCGUUAUAAUGGGUGACCUACCCAGAUGGACGAUAGAACAAAUAUGAAGUGGUCUCAUUGUUAUGGGUGACCUACCCAGGUGGAGGAUAGAAAAAAUAUGAUGUGGUCUCAUUGUAAUGGGUGACCUACCCAGAUGGAAGAUAGAAAAAUGUGAAGUGGUCUCAUUGUUAUGGGUGACCUACCCAGGUGGAAGAUAGAAAAAAUGUGAAGUGGUCUCAUUGUUAUGGGUGACCUACCCAGAUGGAAGAUAGAAAAAAUAUGAAAUGGUCUCAUUGUUAUGGGUGACCUACCCAGAUGGAAGAUAGAAAAAAUGUGAAGCGGUCUCAUUGUAAUGGGUGACCUACCCAGAUGGAAGAUGAGAAAAAUAUGAAGCGGUCUCAUUAUUAUGGGUGACCUACCCAUGUGGAGGAUAGAAAAAAUGUGAAAUGGUCUCAUUGUUAUGGGUGACCUACCCAAAUGAAAGAUGUGAUGUGACAAGUGUGAAAAAUGAGACUUACCUGGCGAAGUCCUGAAGGGAUGAUAGAAGAAAGGGCCAGAAAACUUGGUGCUUCUUGAUAAUUCUUGAUCGCAGGUUUGAAAAUUCGAUGCUUCCUGAUUGCAAGGGUUGAUCUUUUCAUUUCUUUGAGAUUUUCCUAACAGUAAGGUUUAUCUCAUCUNNNNNNNNNNNNNNNNNNNNNNNNNNNNNNNNNNNNNNNNNNNNNNNNNNNNNNNNNNNNNNNNNNNNNNNNNNNNNNNNNNNNNNNNNNNNNNNNNNNNNNNNNNNNNNNNNNNNNNNNNNNNNNNNNNNNNNNNNNNNNNNNNNNNNNNNNNNNNNNNNNNNNNNNNNNNNNNNNNNNNNNNNNNNNNNNNNNNNNNNNNNNNNNNNGCCUUUGUUUGCAUUCCAAAGCUUUAUUUGUCCUUCCCAUGUACUGACUCAUUCAUGUGCUAGUCAUCCACUCAUAUGUAAGUGCAGUGCCCAUCCUGGGUUGUCUUCGACGGUUACUGCUCUUGUUGUUUAUCAAGCUUGACUCUGCCCCCAAGUGCGGUGUUGCUUGAUUCAUCAUGAAGGAUUUUCUCUCCUGGAUUCUUCUGAAAAUUAUCUUUCGAUUGGUUGUGUGCAUCAUGCCAACACCCAUCAAGAUUGUUAAUCAGUCAUGAACUUGCCCCCAGUUGAAAUAAUACUCUUCAAGUAUAUGUUAUCACCAGUCUUCAUUGAAACUAUCCAAUCAUCCAGACAUGCAUCUCAUAGCUUGCAGUACCAAGGCUCAUGGUUGUAUGCUUAGUGUUAUUCUCAAUAGAUUCCCCUUAGCUCUUCUAAUCAGAUUGUGAAAAGAAAUGCAGUGGCAUCAUCAAUGAUGUUCAUUUUAUCACCUAUAUUCAUGCGAUGAAGUGCGCCUUCGAGCUUCAAAACAAGAUGGUCCCACAGUCAGUCUUGGUGAGUGCAUCCUUCCAAUAUUCAUUCAAAUACAACUAUGCGAUAACAUCGUUCAAAAGUCAUAGCCAUGUUGGAGAUGAUAAUAUGACGAUAUAAAGAUGUCCUUUAGAUGCAUCUUUGGUACACCGUCCGUCUUGGUGGUGUGCAUAUGUUAGAUGUUCAUUCAAAUGCACUCACUUGAUAACAUCUGUUAGGAGUCAUAGCCAUGUUUUAGAGGGUAACCCAAGCUGAUGAUAAUGAAAUGCCUUUCAAGUGCAGCGUUGUUUUCAAUUGUUGCUGGAGUUCACUAGAUCAUAGAAUGUUUUUGAACAAUAUUGCCCCCGGUGUGAUCUGAAUGUGCUCUGUCGGUGAUUAUCUUUCUUUGAACACCAUUGUCUUCAGUACACUGAUUCAUCAUUUAAUCAUCUUUCAUUGCCCCCAGCUGAUCUGAAUACUAUUUGUUUUCCUACCCAUGAUCCACUAUGUUGCCUCUAGGUGGUCAACUUUUCAAGGAGUGUCGAGAAAUGUUGAUGUCAUUCUUGUCAAGGAUUUUGCAAAUUCGGUCGAUGUUCUUGUUGUUUAACAAUCUUUCUUGUUUUGGAAUCAACUCUCAUAUUUCAAAGAUCAUGUCAAUUCAAGUCUAAUUGUUGAAAUGAAAUCAGAGAGAUAUCUAUUUUGGAAAAGAUCUUUUAAAUAUCGUGCUUUUUGGUCAAAGACCCAACACACAUCAUUCAAUGUAAUCCUUUGAUUGUCUUGUAUUUUGAAAACAGAAAUGACCCAUUGUAAGUUUAAAAUGACUUUUUUCCAUGGUUCUUUAUGUCAGUUUUAAUCUUUGAUCUUGGGUAUAUCUUUUCACGGUCUGCAAUGAGGUGACCUUCUGUGAAUUUCAAGAAACAAAAGGCUCAAGUCAAAACUUGAGGAUUCAUCAAGAAAGAUUGUUUUCUUUUUUUAGCACCAAUUUUAUCAGCAUGCAUAAUAACCAGUAGCUUAAUCCAUGAAGUCACGACCCUUAUGGAACAACUCUUCAAUUUUUGAGAUCGCCAUUUAUCGGUUCAGAUUGCUUACUUGAUUAAAAAGGGCUUUUAAAAGCACGUAAUGUAGGCUAUGGUUCAUGGCUAUGAAAGAAAGGGAUUUCACAAGCUCAAAAGGUGUUUGAGGGUUUCAAAGACCUAGGAUCAACAUCAAACUAUUCAUCAACUCUUUUUCUAUUGUUGUCUUUGUAGAGGAAAUGACAUAUAACCUUAUUAACCUUAAAUAUCAGAAUUCUCUUAACAUAGGUUAUAUGCAAAUCCAACUUUUUCUUUGAUGAAUAACCAAUCUCAAUCUCUUUGAAGACAUUAGAGGCUUUAUCCUAGACAUACCAAAAGACAUGAAGCUCAAAUUUUUUUUUUUUUUUACUUUUGGCAUUUACUGUGUCUUUCUUUAAUUGAAACCUUUUUUGCCCCUCUUAGAAUUGAUAGGCAUCCUCCUUCCAUUCCACUCUUUCUUUUUUUUUCUUUUUUUUUUCUUUUUUUUACAUAGUCUUCCUCAAAGAUUUCUUGGAUGGCCCUCAAUCUAUGGCUUUUUCCUUCUAGCCCUUUCCUAAUCAUUGGACUUUUGUUCUAAGCCUUUCCUUUAUCCAUUAAUCCUAUCACUGUCUUUAAAAUAUCUCUCAUUUGCCCCCAGUGUGGGGUGUGAUCCUAGUCGGGGUUUUUUAUGAAAGGAAUAUUCUAUCCAGCUCAAAAUGGGACUCAAGAGAUAUAAUCUUUAGAAAGUGAAGGGAUAUCAAAGAUGGCCUUUUCUCAUUUCAAGCAAUGGUCGGUUAGAACCGAUAAAUUUUGACCUCGUCCAGUGUAAUGAUUUGGACUUGUAAGAAUCAUGAUUCACGAGUCCAUAACUAUUGAAUCCACUACAUGUCAUUAUGCAUACUGCUAAAACUAGCUAUAUGAUGUGUGGUUCAGUUUCAGGAGGUAUCAGUUCAAAAUUGUUUGGUCACCUCAUGUCAUUUUCAAGCAUCAAGUCAUUUCUGCAAUCAAAACACUUUUAAUGUUCAUGAUUAAACUUUGCAUGUUGGAGUUUGAUCAAACAUAUUUUGUCAAAAUACCCUUUGAAAGAAGCAUCUCUUGAUUUCAAAACAACAGGAAGACAAAGGAAAGACAUGUUUUGUUCAAGGAUGAGAUGUGACCCCAAAACAAAAUGCAAGAUGGCAAAAUCCAUAACAAAAAUGAUUGACAGUUUAACCCCUUCUUAGAUCAGCCUCUUUGGCAAUAUCUCUGUUUUGCCAAGCAAUUCCGAUCACUCGUCAUUCUGAGGAUGUUCUGGCGAUAAAAUGAUCGAUGACAAGCUCCUUCCCAGAUUCCUCUCGUCUUUUGCUCACCAACUUCCGGACUCGAUUCUUGCAAUUGUUCAAUUGAAAUGGCUGAGGACCCCACCAUGACAUCACAUCUCUUGUCUGGAUUAUACCACCUACAAAAUGGUGGUUGCAUGGGUUUUGUUGGAGUCAGGCAUUAAGUCUGGAAUCUGGCAGAUGCUAGUAAAUAAACCCACAUGGCAAAGGAAUGUCUAUCUUUGGCAAAGACAUUGAAGUAGUUGGUGCUUUGUGAGACUUGACUAAACCACAUAACUAUGGUUUCCCGUCUUCAGAGUCAUCUCCUGAUUCAUCUCUUCACAGUUCUGGAAUCCAUGGCAGAUCCUUCAAUCUUUCACUUCUUCAUAGCUCGCUCAAUUCUUUCGAUGAUCUUCACAACAUCAUGUCAUUCUUCCAAUGUUGUUGUGGUUUGUUGAGGGUUGUUGGAAAACUUCCACCAGCGAGGUAAUCUUGCCAGCGCAUAGAAUCAUGCAGCGCUAUCAAUGUCAAUGUGUUAAAUGAUGCAUUGUUUUUUUGGAGGAGAAACUGCUGAAUAUGAAACUCCUUUGUCUCCUCUUCGAUCCCUCCCUGACAGUGCAGCAAACAAACACCUGUAGAGGGAGCUCUGCUCUGUUGAAGUUUCAAUCUUCUUUCUAUUUUUCAGCCGAGGUUUCUCUCUUUUCCCUUCUUUUGCAUUUUCAAGCUAACACCGAUGAGAGAAAAUUAUAGAUGAUCAGAAACUACUGCAUUCCUUCUUGAAUUUUCCACUUGCAGAUCCACAAACAGAUUCCUGUCGAGAGAGCUCUGCUAUAUUGAAGUUUGAUGUUUGCCCUGUUUUCUAGCUCAGGUCUGGCUCUUCGGCCUACUCCAGUGUUUUAGUGCUGAAACUAAUGAGACAACGUUUUAUAGCAUAUGAAAAUACUGCAUCCCCUCUUGCAUGCCCCAUUGGCAGAUCCCCAAACAAAUCUCUACAGAGAGAGCUCUGCAACGUAGAAGUUUAAUGUCUGUUCAUGUUUUUCAGACCAGGUUUGGCUCUUCAACCUACCACAAUGUCUUUGUGCUGAAACUGAUGAGAGAUUUUUAUAGCAUAUGCAACUAAUAAAUCCCCUCUUACAUUCCCAACUUAAAGAGCCAUAAACAGAUUUUUGUAGAGAGAGCUCUGCCACAUUGAAGUUUGAUGACUGCUAACAUUUUCAGACCAGGUCUCACUCUUCUGCCCACUACCAUGUUUUGCUGGUGCCACUGGUGGGAGAAAGUUUCAAAGCGUAUGAAACUACUACACCCCCUCUUGCAUUCCCCACUGGCAGAUCCACAAAAAAAUCUCUACAGAAAGAGCUCUGCAACGUAGAAGUUCAGUGUCUAAUCAUGAUUUUUUUUUUUACAUCUUGUGCUGCUGAACUGAAAUUGAGCUAACAGUUGGGGUAACGUCAAGGAAGGCUAACACACCGUGCACAGAAGGCUAGCAGUUAUUUGGUGCCAUUGAAAGAUGUGUAGGCGAUGAACAAUUAACAGGGCAAUUGACCGAGAACAAAAGUUGUCAUUGGUUAUGACUGAAGCCAUUGUUGUUGUUCAUGACUGAAAAGAAGGUGCAGCUUCAAUGGGACGUGGACGAGCGGUGUUCUCACAGAAAACUGUGCAGACAUUCCCUUUCCAUUUGAUGCUCUACACUUGUUCAGGCAGAUCUGAGCCUAGCUACUUCCUCUUUGAUGCUCUCAAUUUUCUUUUGACUCUGUGCCUCUCUCUGACAUCUUUCUUCAUUUCCAUCGUCUUUUUUUCAAUCACGUGGAGCACAGCUUGUGUGGGGGAACCUAUCUUUUAACCCGGUACAUGCAUGAUAAAUGUAUGAACAUGUAAACUAUAUGAAGAACUCGCCCUUCGAGGGGUGACAAUAUGGUCGUAACUCUCGUAUGAUGAAACAAAAAUCUUGAUUCUUGCCCAAACUCUACAAUGAAAAUUUUCUGAGUGACGGCCAUUGGGUCACCCACAAGUCUUCAGUUCAAGAUGCUUCAAGAAGGGUUUGCCCUUAUGCAGAACAAUGUAUACGGAGCACACAUUCUAAAGGCAGGUUCUAUUCACUAUGUGAAAAUGGGUAGGUUCUCUACCUGGUCUCAAAAGGGUCUCAUAUCUGCCCAGUGACGUUCUUCGUAAAGACAGUAUGGGGGCGUUGCAAGGAAUAGUUAAGGUACGUCUACCCACCAUUACCAAGCAGGCACUCAGAUAUGAGUUCGGUUUUUCACGCAUCUGAACCCUGACCAAUAGUCAUAGGGCAGAUCGCUAAUUCACCACCUAACUUAGAAGCUUGUGUGUGCUUUAAAAAUAAAUACAGGUGAUGCAUGAAACAAUUCUAAAAAUGCAUGGAUAAAACAAAAAUAAAACAAGACAAAAAUGCAAAAACUUAAACACAUCAAAUACACAAAGCUUAGUCCAAUAUUGUCAGAAACAGUACCUUCCCCAGUGGAGUCACCAUUCUGUCGCACGUCAAAAAAAUCCGCGCGGCGUCGGCUGGCGAUUUUUCAUUUGUUAUGUUUUGAUUUGAUUGGUUCGUUGGAGUCGCCACCUAGUAUUUAAUUGAGGGUUACUAGGGAACCCAGAUGUACUGGUCUUGUCAGAGAUUCACGGGUAAGGGACUGGUUGUGGUUAGGGAAGGUAUUAGCACCCCUAACACACCCUACCUGAGGUAAGCUGCUUCGUGACUUUGAUGUGUUAAAGAAGUUUUAAUAAUUGUCUUCUCAUCAGAUAUUAGAAAUACAACUUACAUGUAAGUUAAUAAUUCUUGACCGUGAUCCAAUCAAAAUAUUAAAUUCUUCUUUAAUCUUUACAAUUUCAUAAGAAAAUAUAUAUAAAAAAAUAAAAACAAAUACAAACACACACGUUCACUCUUACUAUAUUUGUUCUUUUCUUUUCUUUUCUUCUUUUUUACAUACACAGUACAAAUUGUAAAAAUUCAACAACUAAACAAACAUUACAUCAAACACUUUAAAAAUUACAAAACAGACCCCCACAAAUCCUUUACAGUGCAGGGAAACCUUUUGGACCCGUAUGAACAGUGGUGGCGCGUCUUCCCACGCGCCACCGUCACUGGUGGCGCGUGGGUUCACGCGCCGCCGCACAAAACUUGGAAGCCGGGUGGAUCUGGUUCAGUUUCAUCUCCUCUUCCCUUCUCUGCUGGUGGUGACAACGCCGUUACCUGCAAAACAACCAAAACGCAACACAGGCAGUUGAUUUUAGUUUUCAUUUCCUUUGUUUUUCAAAUCUUCUUCGGUUUCUUCCUUUUUUAAAAAUAUGUCCCGUUUCUCUGCCUCCUCUGCAGAUCGGUCAUCUUCUUCUUCUUUCGGUGGCAGAUCCGCCGUGGAGGACCCAGCGUCGUGGGUGAGGAGGCGGCGUCGCUGUUAUGGGAAAGAGACGUCGCUGCAAGGCUGGCGGAGUUUGCUGCUGGAGACCGGUCUGCGGGUUAGGAGAUCGCCUUCUUCUCCUCUGUUUCGGGUGGCAGAUCAGGUCUGUGAGAGAGGAGCUGCUGCUGGGUCGUUGAUGACGGGUGGAAGAGAUGACUGGUCUUGGCUGGUCUGCGGCCGUUGCUGUUGAAGGAAACGAAGGUGAAGAAGAUGCUGCUACUGCUGGGGGAGGAACUGAGGAAAGGGGAAGAUCUGUGUGCAGAGGGGGCCGGUCUGUUUGGCUGAGAGCGACCAAUGGGAAGAUGACCGGAGCCAAAAUGGGGGUCGGUUCUUCUUUGAGAAGAUGAAAGGUUGGCUUUUCUCUUUGGCCGAGGGGUAGUGUCCCUUUGCUGGUGAGAGGGGAGGUUUCUGGAGAUGGUUUUUUUGGGUCAAAAGGAAAAGGAAAUCAGGGGCUCCCCAGCUGAAGGUUGUAGAUGAGAAUGAAAUGGGGUAACAGUCAUGGCUGAGAAGGGAUCGGUUUCGGCUGCGGUUUUGGAAGGAAAAUGGAGUGGGAGCAGAAUGGCUGCUCUGGUUUGGUUUCAAAGAGAGGGGGAGCAGCGGAGAGGGCAAGGAGAUGGUGUCGGUUUGAGAAAAGAAGAUGAUGGUGGAACCGGCUGCGAAAUUGGAGGCUUGUGCAGGCGGCUGAAGAGGAAAAAUCUGCAAAACCAAAGGAGAGAGGGGGGCGGCGGCUCUCCUUGAAAAAAAAUGGGUUUAGGUUUAGGUUUUUUUUGUAUUUUUUCUGAUGUUGUCAAAAUUGCCCCCCCUCCUUUUGUUUGAGUAUUGGACCAGUAUUUAUAGGUAAAAUGUUGCAUGGAUCUCAAAAUUGGUCCCUCAAC
RNAcentral lists this long non-coding RNA (10842 nucleotides) under Populus trichocarpa (black cottonwood). RNAcentral's name for it is "long non-coding RNA (PTRI_LNC004688)". Lineage: Eukaryota; Viridiplantae; Streptophyta; Magnoliopsida; Malpighiales; Salicaceae. The record is from RNAcentral.